UUUCAGCAGGGAAGAAGCGAAAGUGACGGUACCUGCAGAAGAAGUACCGGCUAACUACGUGCCAGCAGCCGCGGUAAUACGUAGGGUACGAGCGUUGUCCGGAAUUAUUGGGCGUAAAGAGCUCGUAGGUGGUUGGUCACGUCUGCUGUGGAAACGCAACGCUUAACGUUGCGCGUGCAGUGGGUACGGGCUGACUAGAGUGCAGUAGGGGAGUCUGGAAUUCCUGGUGUAGCGGUGAAAUGCGCAGAUAUCAGGAGGAACACCGGUGGCGAAGGCGGGACUCUGGGCUGUAACUGACACUGAGGAGCGAAAGCAUGGGGAGCGAACAGGAUUAGAUACCCUGGUAGUCCAUGCCGUAAACGUUGGGCACUAGGUGUGGGGGACAUUCCACGUUCUCCGCGCCGUAGCUAACGCAUUAAGUGCCCCGCCUGGGGAGUACGGUCGCAAGGCUAAAACUCAAAGGAAUUGACGGGGGCCCGCACAAGCGGCGGAGCAUGCGGAUUAAUUCGAUGCAACGCGAAGAACCUUACCAAGGCUUGACAUACACUGGACCGUUCUGGAAACAGUUCUUCUCUUUGGAGCUGGUGUACAGGUGGUGCAUGGUUGUCGUCAGCUCGUGUCGUGAGAUGUUGGGUUAAGUCCCGCAACGAGCGCAACCCUCGUUCUAUGUUGCCAGCACGUGAUGGUGGGAACUCAUAGGAGACUGCCGGGGUCAACUCGGAGGAAGGUGGGGAUGACGUCAAAUCAUCAUGCCCUUUAUGUCUUGGGCUUCACGCAUGCUACAAUGGCUGGUACAGAGAGAGGCGAACCCGUGAGGGUGAGCGAAUCCCUUAAAG
Molecule: ribosomal RNA, 836 nt
Filed under: Brevibacterium permense
Lineage: Bacteria; Bacillati; Actinomycetota; Actinomycetes; Micrococcales; Brevibacteriaceae
Description: bacterial SSU rRNA
Rfam family: Bacterial small subunit ribosomal RNA
Source: RNAcentral